UGCGGUAGUUCAGUUGGUUAGAAUGUCGGCCUGUCACGCCGAAGGUCGCGAGUUCGAAUCUCGUCCGCAC
RNAcentral lists this transfer RNA (70 nucleotides) under human gut metagenome. It matches the Rfam family "tRNA". Rfam says of the family: Transfer RNA (tRNA) molecules are approximately 80 nucleotides in length. Their secondary structure includes four short double-helical elements and three loops (D, anti-codon, and T loops). The record is from RNAcentral.